CACUACACACAUGAAUUGAGAAGAAGAAGAAAUUCACUCAAUCAUGUGAAUUAUAAUAGAGCUCUUCCCCUAAUGAAGUGGGGUUUAAUUGAUCAUUGCUCUAAGAAAAACUGAAGAGAA
Molecule: non-coding RNA, 120 nt
Organism: Arachis ipaensis
Lineage: Eukaryota; Viridiplantae; Streptophyta; Magnoliopsida; Fabales; Fabaceae
Source: RefSeq, a predicted model, not a curated record